RNAcentral lists this ribosomal RNA (349 nucleotides) under uncultured eukaryote. RNAcentral describes it as "SSU rRNA". It matches the Rfam family "Eukaryotic small subunit ribosomal RNA", at positions 594 to 945 of the family's 1831-position model. The record is from RNAcentral.
AUAGCGUAUAUUAAAGUUGUUGCGUCUAAAAAGCUCGUAGUUGGAUCUUGGGUCGGGGGGAGCGGUCCGCCCCUCGUGGGUGUGCACUGGUCCACCCGACCUUUCUGCCGGGGACGCGCUCCUGGCCUUCGCUGGUCGGGACGCGGAGUCGGCGAUGUUACUUUGAAAAAAUUAGAGUGCUCAAAGCAAGCCUAUGCUCUGAAUACAUUAGCAUGGAAUAACGUGAUAGGACUCUGGUCCUGUUGUGUUGGUCUUCGGGACCGGAGUAAUGAUUAAUAGGGACAGUUGGGGGCAUUCGUAUUUCAUUGUCAGAGGUGAAAUUCUUGGAUUUAUGAAAGACGAACUUCUG